This 73-nucleotide small RNA is filed under the name Methylobacterium sp. 174MFSha1.1. RNAcentral's name for it is "suhB". It matches the Rfam family "Makes More Granules Regulator RNA (mmgR)". From Rfam's summary of the family: SuhB later renamed mmgR (makes more granules regulator) was a putative non-coding RNA found multiple times in the Agrobacterium tumefaciens genome and related alpha-proteobacteria. Other non-coding RNAs uncovered in the same analysis include: speF, ybhL, metA, and serC. Several studies inSinorhizobium meliloti showed that suhB element is indeed a non-coding RNA:firstly it was detected on Northern blot and called Sm8RNA, secondly in an RNAseq study referred to as SmelC689. The record is from RNAcentral. Lineage: Bacteria; Pseudomonadati; Pseudomonadota; Alphaproteobacteria; Hyphomicrobiales; Methylobacteriaceae.
CAGAAGCGCCCUCCAUGGGCGUUUCCUCCUUAGACUUCGGCCGCUCGCAAGGGCGGCCUUUUGUUUCCGAGGA